CGGGUGUCGUAUUUUGAAAGUUUGGUAGUGGUUGAGGAGAAAAACGUAUGUAAUUUGAGUUAGAAAACUGGCGGAAAGAAAAUCGGGACGACACACUAGGUGGCUGAUGUAAUAAAUAAUUUAUCUGGUAUUUAAAACAAACUAUAAAUAAAACACGUUAUCAUACUUUGUAAAAUGAUUAAUAAAUAAGACACAUUAUCAUAUUUUGUAGAGUACCGAGAAAAUUUUACAUUGAAAUAUACUUACAUUUGUAAUAUAGUUCUUGGAAUACUUUAAAUUUUCAAAACGAAAAUACCACUUGAAAUCAAUUCAUGACCUUUCAUAUUGCUUCCCACGUGUACGGUAUGAUUCAAAGAUCAAGCGGAUGUUUCAACUUUUUCCAAAGUGGUUAAUUAAGUUUGUGUCCAAU
RNAcentral lists this long non-coding RNA (409 nucleotides) under Mytilus galloprovincialis (Mediterranean mussel). The record is from RNAcentral. Lineage: Eukaryota; Metazoa; Mollusca; Bivalvia; Mytilida; Mytilidae.